RNAcentral lists this unclassified non-coding RNA (200 nucleotides) under Chlorophyllum sp. RNAcentral's name for it is "partial internal transcribed spacer 2". The record is from RNAcentral. Lineage: Eukaryota; Fungi; Basidiomycota; Agaricomycetes; Agaricales; Agaricaceae.
UUAAGUUCAGCGGGUAGUCCUACCUGAUUUGAGGUCAAGGAUUCAAAAAGUUGUCUCUUCAACAGAGACAGUUGGCAGCUGAACAGACAGAGAGCAAUCCACUGGUGUAGAUAAUUAUCACACCUGUGACAGAUCGCAAAUGGUUCUGCUAAUGCAUUUCAGGGGAGCUGACACCUGCCAGCAAACCCUCCACAAUCCAA